This 379-nucleotide long non-coding RNA is filed under the name Zostera marina. RNAcentral's name for it is "long non-coding RNA (ZMAR_LNC001477)". Lineage: Eukaryota; Viridiplantae; Streptophyta; Magnoliopsida; Alismatales; Zosteraceae. The record is from RNAcentral.
CAGGAUAAUGAUUAGAUUUAUAGGAUUCAAUUUUUAGGUUGUCUUGAAAGUAUGACUUACUUGAAGGUUGAUCACUGUCUACGUGUUCCACUGUCUUGAUCGAUUCCAGGUAAUGGGUUCCACAUCGAAGGAUGAUCGAUUGCAGGCGACGAUCGAUUGCAGGCGACGAUCGAUUGCAGGCGACGAUCGAUUCCAGGCGACGAUCGAUUCCAGGCGACGAUCGAUUCCAGGCGACGAUUGAUUGGGUACUAGAACGAUCGAUACCAGGCAACGAUUGAUUGGGUACUAGUACUAAAAUCGCACUCAAGACGAAAGUCAACCAGACAAUCAAUAAUGACAUACCAUAAAUGCAACUAGACCAUCAAUCACUUUCGCAACA